AUGUGUCCAGGGUCACAAAGCGAGCGAUGGCAGCGACCAGUGGGGAAUGCCAGCCUGUCGUCCAGCCUGCACGCCACCGCCCAUUGGCUGUGCGGCCUCAGCAAAGUCUCCCCACUCAUGGCACGGACCCCACAUUCCUGUGGUAAAGCUCUAGUAAGAGAACAAAAGCAUCCAGAGACUGCAAGUCGGCCACAUACCCGCUAUCUACGACUGGUCGCUCAAGUCGGCCAAGGACGGGGGUCUCUGCUGGACUCGUGAUCCACGGUCCGCUUUCUGGGCAGACGCGGAGGGGGGGGCCCGCUUUCCGUCCCGCCAGGCACUUGCCCCGCUUCGGACGCGGCCGUCCAUUUCCACACUCCCUGCCGCAUGCAGGCCUAGGGCAACCUUGUUCUCCCGCAAGACUGUGCCCAUUUCACAGGCGACGGAACUGAGGUCCAAGUCACGUCUCAGGCGGGGUCUUUAUCAACUGUUCGAACCCGACUUGCCGGCUGCCGCGUGCAGAGGCCCGGCCUGGCCGGCAGCCCGCCCAGCUUCGCCAUGCGGAACCCGGGUUUGGAGUCUAGGUCUCUCGGCCCUUCGCCGAGGUAGGUGAAACUCCCGCUCAAAGACGCCUCAGCCGCCUCGGUCACGUGCGCAGGCGCCCCCUCGGUCACGUGCCCUGAGGCCCCGCGAGGUAACGUGAGCCCUCGGACCAAUCCCCGCGGCCAGGACCGGGAGGCCGUGGGAUUGGCCCAUCCCAGCUGAGAGGGCGGGACUCCUGCCCCGAGACCGGAAGCUUGUCAUCCCUUCCGGAUCCCGCCCGGCAUCCGUGGGAAUCUCGCUCGCUGGCGAGACC
This 835-nucleotide long non-coding RNA is filed under the name Sus scrofa (pig). RNAcentral's name for it is "lncRNA (ENSSSCG00050002911.1)". Lineage: Eukaryota; Metazoa; Chordata; Mammalia; Artiodactyla; Suidae. The record is from RNAcentral.